UACGUAGGGUGCGAGCGUUGUCCGGAAUUAUUGGGCGUAAAGGGCUCGUAGGCGGUCUGUCGCGUCGGGAGUGAAAACUCAGGGCUUAACCCUGAGCCUGCUUCCGAUACGGGCAGACUAGAGGUAUGCAGGGGAGAACGGAAUUCCUGGCGUAGCGGUGGAAUGCGCAGAUAUCAGGAGGAACACCGGUGGCGAAGGCGGUUCUCUGGGCAUUACCUGACGCUGAGGAGCGAAAGUGUGGGGAGCGAACAGG
RNAcentral lists this ribosomal RNA (253 nucleotides) under uncultured bacterium. Its description in RNAcentral is "partial 16S ribosomal RNA". It matches the Rfam family "Bacterial small subunit ribosomal RNA", at positions 524 to 776 of the family's 1533-position model. The record is from RNAcentral.